GACGAACGCUGGCGGCGUGCUUAACACAUGCAAGUCGAACGGAAAGGCCCUGCUUUUGUGGGGUGCUCGAGUGGCGAACGGGUGAGUAACACGUGAGUAACCUGCCCUUGACUUUGGGAUAACUUCAGGAAACUGGGGCUAAUACCGGAUAUGAGCUCCUGCUGCAUGGUGGGGGUUGGAAAGUUUCGGCGGUUGGGGAUGGACUCGCGGCUUAUCAGCUUGUUGGUGGGGUAGUGGCUUACCAAGGCUUUGACGGGUAGCCGGCCUGAGAGGGUGACCGGCCACAUUGGGACUGAGAUACGGGCCAGACUCCUACGGGAGGCAGCAGUGGAGAAUAGUGCACAAUGGGCGGAAGCCUGAUGCAGCAACGCCGCGUGCGGGAUGACGGCCUUCGGGUUGUAAACCGCUUUCGCCUGUGACGAAGAGUGAGUGACGGUAAUGGGUAAAGAAGCACCGGCUAACUACGUG
RNAcentral lists this ribosomal RNA (468 nucleotides) under uncultured bacterium. Its description in RNAcentral is "partial 16S ribosomal RNA". It matches the Rfam family "Bacterial small subunit ribosomal RNA", at positions 28 to 507 of the family's 1533-position model. The record is from RNAcentral.